CCCCUCCCCAAAUGAAGAACCCUAAAAUUCGCCACCAAAAUCCCAGCAGAAAAUCUUGAUGUUCGGAAACUAUACACACACACAGACAAUUGACUCAACGAGAGGCUGAUUAGCUGGUAGUAUGGUUUCUUUAUACGCGAGAAGAAUGGGUAAAUAAGGAGCUCGGCAUUUCGAAUGAAAUGGAAAGUGGAAUCUGAUGCUCCAUUCGGCCCCCAGAGCAAAGGAAAAAUGGAAUUUUGAAAGAAAUGAAAAGUGGAAAAGUAAACUCCACUCGGGACUUUGACUAAAAAGAGAGGUUGAUUAGUUGGGUGAAAUUUUUCUUUUUUUUGCAUGUUUUCACAACAAUAUUCUGGUCUCUUGUCAAAAGCUAAUAAUUUUUUUGGUUAGGUGACUGGUUUAUUGCGAGAACCUCUGUUUUUCACUUUCAUGCUGCAUCCAUGAGUCUGGAAUAACUUAUUGAAGUUUAUGAGCGUAAGAAAACUGCUUGGUAUCAACUUGUGGUCUACUCCAAUUCGAGAAUGAAUGCAAACAAAAGUGUCUUCAUUAUUGGUGCCACCAACAGGCCUAAUAUAAUCAAUCAUGCGCUUUUUCGUCAUGGACGUCUCGAUCAAUUGAUUUACAUCUGUAAAUAAGUAAAAUUGUCUUAAAGAUUGGAACCACCAUAUUAACAUUUUUCCCUGUAUUGUAGUAGGAAAAUUGAUGGCUUGUUUUCUGAUUGUAUUGAAGCUAUAAAUGAAUGG
Molecule: long non-coding RNA, 740 nt
Filed under: Olea europaea subsp. europaea
Lineage: Eukaryota; Viridiplantae; Streptophyta; Magnoliopsida; Lamiales; Oleaceae
Source: RNAcentral